UAAGCGGAGGAAAAGAAACUAACAAGGAUUCCCCCAGUAACGGCGAGUGAAGCGGGAAGAGCUCAAGCUUAAAAUCUCCAUACUUGUAUGGCGAAUUGUAGUCUAUUGAGGCUGUUGUCAGCAUCGCGAUUGGGGACAAGUCCCUUGGAAAAGGGCAGCAUAGAGGGUGAUACUCCCGUCUCUGCUCCAAUCUGCGGUGUGUACGAUACGCUUUCUUUGAGUCGAGUUGUUUGGGAAUACAGCUCAAAGUAGGUGGUAAAUUCCAUCUAAAGCUAAAUAUUGGUGCGAGACCGAUAGCGAACAAGUACCGUGAGGGAAAGAUGAAAAGAACUUUGAAAAGAGAGUUAAAGAGUACCUGAAACUGUUGAAAGGGAACCGUAUCGUUUCCAGUGUUGUAUCCUAUGCAUAUUUCAUUCGCGGAGUAAUUUGCGGGUGCCCUGUGCAUGGGUGUGACGUCAGGGUCAGUUUGUAUGCUGCGGGAGAUGGUCAGUGAGGAGGUGCGUCACUUCGGUGAAAGUUAUAUCUCGCUGUCUAGUAGCCGUGGUUGAGACUGAGGUGCCUACAACAUGCCUUAAGGUUCCGUGUUGUCUCGUGUUGGUGACUGCUUUGAUAGCUUGCUAUGUCUGUGGUUUAUCAGUGCGAUUGAUGAUGCGGAUAACUUUUGCUGUUCGGGACUCUGGCGAAAUGGAGCGAU
RNAcentral lists this ribosomal RNA (694 nucleotides) under Saprolegnia sp. UNCW253. Its description in RNAcentral is "eukaryotic LSU rRNA". It matches the Rfam family "Eukaryotic large subunit ribosomal RNA", at positions 47 to 643 of the family's 3401-position model. Lineage: Eukaryota; Oomycota; Saprolegniomycetes; Saprolegniales; Saprolegniaceae. The record is from RNAcentral.